GACGAACGCUGGCGGCGUGCCUAAUACAUGCAAGUAGAACGCUGAAGAGAGGAGCUUGCUCUUCUUGGAUGAGUUGCGAACGGGUGAGUAACGCGUAGGUAACCUGCCUUGUAGCGGGGGAUAACUAUUGGAAACGAUAGCUAAUACCGCAUAACAAUGGAUGACACAUGUCAUUUAUUUGAAAGGGGCAAUUGCUCCACUACAAGAUGGACCUGCGUUGUAUUAGCUAGUAGGUGAGGUAAUGGCUCACCUAGGCGACGAUACAUAGCCGACCUGAGAGGGUGAUCGGCCACACUGGGACUGAGACACGGCCCAGACUCCUACGGGAGGCAGCAGUAGGGAAUCUUCGGCAAUGGGGGCAACCCUGACCGAGAAACGCCGCGGGAGUGAAGAAGGGUUUCGGAUCGUAAAGCUCUGUUGUAAGUCAAGAACGGGUGUGAGAGUGGAAAGUUCACACUGUGACGGUAGCUUAACAGAAAGGGACGGCUAACUACGUG
This 497-nucleotide ribosomal RNA is filed under the name uncultured bacterium. RNAcentral describes it as "partial 16S ribosomal RNA". It matches the Rfam family "Bacterial small subunit ribosomal RNA", at positions 28 to 507 of the family's 1533-position model. The record is from RNAcentral.